RNAcentral lists this long non-coding RNA (1003 nucleotides) under Mus musculus (house mouse). RNAcentral's name for it is "long non-coding RNA chr7:69209883-69210886". Lineage: Eukaryota; Metazoa; Chordata; Mammalia; Rodentia; Muridae. The record is from RNAcentral.
AUGGUGAAGGUCGGUGUGAACAUAUUCGGCUGUAUUGGGCUCCUGGUUAUCAGGGAUGCAUUCAGCUCUGUACUUGGCAAAGCAGAGAUUGUUGACAUCAAUGACCCCUUCAUUGACCUCAACUACAUGGUCUACAUGUUCCAGUAUGACUCUACCCAUGGUAAGUUCCAUAGCACAGUCAAGGCCGAGAAUGGGAAGCUUGUAAUCAAUGGGAAGCCCAUCACCAUCUUCCAGGAGUGAGAUCCUGCUAACAUCAAAUGGGGUGAGGCUGGUGCUGAGUAUGUUGUGGAGUCUCCAUGUGGUGUCUUCACCCCCAUGGAGAAGGCCAGGGGGGCCACUUGAAGGGUGGGGUCAAAAGGGUCAUCAUCUCUGCCCCUUCUGCUGAUGCUCCCAUGUUUGUGAUGGGUAUGAACCACAAGAAAUAUGACAACUCACUCAAGUUUGUCAGCAAUGCAUCCUGCACCACCAACUGCUUAACCCCCACUUCUGGCCAAUGUCAUCCAUGACAACUUUGGCAUCAUGGAAGGGCUCAUGACCAUGGUCCAUGCCAUUACUGCCACUCAGAAGACUGUAGAAGGCCCCUCUGGAAAGCUGUGGUGUGAUGGCCAUAGGGCUGCCCAGAACAUCAUCCCUGCAUCCAUUGGUGCUGCCAAGGCUUCGGGCAAGGUCAUCCCAGAGCUGAAUGGGAAGCUCACUGGCCUGGCCUUCUGUGUUCCUAUCACCAAUGAAUCCAUUGACAUGCCACCUAUGCCAAGUAUGGUGAGAUCAAGAAAAUGGUGAAGUAGGCAUUGGAGGGCCCACUAAAGGACAUCCUGGGUUACACUGAGGACCAGAUUGUCUCCUGUGACUUCAACGGCAACUCCCACUCUUCCAUCUUUGAUGCUGAGGCUGGCAUUGCUUUCACAAACAACUCUAUAAAGCUCAUUUCCUGGUAUGACAAUGAACACAGCUACAGCAACAGGUUCCUGGACCUCAUGGCCUACAUGGCCUCUAAGGAGCAAGA